This is a transfer RNA of Felis catus (domestic cat), 85 nucleotides long. It matches the Rfam family "tRNA". From Rfam's summary of the family: Transfer RNA (tRNA) molecules are approximately 80 nucleotides in length. Their secondary structure includes four short double-helical elements and three loops (D, anti-codon, and T loops). NCBI's taxonomy places the organism in Eukaryota, Metazoa, Chordata, Mammalia, Carnivora, Felidae. The record is from Rfam.
GCCUGGGUGGCUCAGUAGGUUAAGUGUCUGACUUUGGCACAGGUUAUGAUCUCACAAUUUGUGGGUUCAAGCCCCUCAUCAGGCU